Molecule: ribosomal RNA, 137 nt
Filed under: uncultured bacterium
Lineage: Bacteria
Description: partial 16S ribosomal RNA
Rfam family: Bacterial small subunit ribosomal RNA
Source: RNAcentral
UGGGGAAUAUUGCACAAUGGGGGGAACCCUGAUGCAGCGACGCCGCGUGAAGGAAGAAGUAUCUCGGUAUGUAAACUUCUAUCAGCAGGGAAGACAAUGACGGUACCUGACUAAGAAGCCCCGGCUAACUACGUGCC